GUGGGGAAUAUUGGACAAUGGGCGAAAGCCUGAUCCAGCCAUGCCGCGUGUGUGAAGAAGGUCUUCGGAUUGUAAAGCACUUUAAGUUGGGAGGAAGGGCAGUAAGUUAAUACCUUGCUGUUUUGACGUUACCGACAGAAUAAGCACCGGCUAACUUCGUGCCAGCAGCCGCGGUAAUACGAAGGGUGCAAGCGUUAAUCGGAAUUACUGGGCGUAAAGCGCGCGUAGGUGGUUUUGUAAGUUGGAGGUGAAAUCCACGGGCUCAACCUGGGAACUGCCUUCAAAACUUGAGGACUAGAGUACGGUAGAGGGUAGUGGAAUUUCCUGUGUAGCGGUGAAAUGCGUAGAUAUAGGAAGGAACACCAGUGGCGAAGGCGACUACCUGGACUGAUACUGACACUGAGGUGCGAAAGCGUGGGGAGCUAACAGGAUUAGAAACCCCUGUAGUCC
RNAcentral lists this ribosomal RNA (450 nucleotides) under uncultured bacterium. RNAcentral's name for it is "partial 16S ribosomal RNA". It matches the Rfam family "Bacterial small subunit ribosomal RNA", at positions 354 to 796 of the family's 1533-position model. The record is from RNAcentral.